RNAcentral lists this ribosomal RNA (404 nucleotides) under uncultured bacterium. RNAcentral's name for it is "bacterial SSU rRNA". It matches the Rfam family "Bacterial small subunit ribosomal RNA", at positions 355 to 775 of the family's 1533-position model. The record is from RNAcentral.
UGAGGAAUAUUGCACAAUGGGCGAAAGCCUGAUGCAGCAACGCCGCGUGAGGGACGAAGGCCUUCGGGUCGUAAACCUCUUUUCUGGGGAAAGAGACAGGACGGUACCUCAGGAGUAAGUCUCGGCUAACUACGUGCCAGCAGCCGCGGUAAAACGUAGGAGGCGAGCGUUAUCCGGAUUUACUGGGCGUAAAGCGCACGCAGGCGGUUCCGUUAGUCGGACGUGAAAGCACCUGGCUUAACUGGGAGAGGCCGUUCGAUACUGCGGGACCUGAGGUUGGAAGAGGGGUGUGGAAUUCCCGGUGUAGUGGUGGAAUGCGUAGAUAUCGGGAGGAACACCUGUGGCGAAAGCGGCACCCUGGUCCACACCUGACGUUGAGGUGCGAAAGCGUGGGUAGCAAACAG